AUUGAAACACCAGUUCCCAUACGAUCACUAAAGUUAAGAAAUGUCGACCCUGGUCAGUACCUAGAUGAGUGAUCGCUUGGGAUUACCAGAUGGUGUAAG
Acanthosepion pharaonis is the source of this 99-nucleotide non-coding RNA. The record is from the annotation of a GenBank genome assembly. NCBI's taxonomy places the organism in Eukaryota, Metazoa, Mollusca, Cephalopoda, Sepiida, Sepiidae.